CCUACGGGAGGCUGCAGUAGGGAAUAUUGCUCAAUGGGGGAAACCCUGAAGCAGCAACGCCGCGUGGAGGAUGAAUGUUUUCGGAUUGUUAACUCCUUUUUUUAGAGAAGAUAAUGAUGGUAUCUAUCGCAUAAUCACCGGCUAACUCCGUGCCAGCAGCCGCGGUACUACGGAGGGUGCAAGCGUUACUCGGAAUCACUGGGCGUAAGGAGCGCGUAGGAGGGAUAGCAAGUCAGAUGUGAAAUCCUAUGGCUUAACCAUAGAACUGCAUUUGAAACUGUUAUUCUAGAGUAUGGAAGAGGUAGGUGGAAUUAUUGGUGUAGGGGUAAAAUCCGUAGAUAUCAAGAAGAAUACUCAUUGCGAAGGCGACCUGCUAGAACAUAACUGACGCUGAUGCGCGAAAGCGUGGGGAGCAAACAGGAUUAGAUACCCGUGUAGUC
RNAcentral lists this ribosomal RNA (440 nucleotides) under uncultured bacterium. RNAcentral describes it as "partial 16S ribosomal RNA". It matches the Rfam family "Bacterial small subunit ribosomal RNA", at positions 338 to 795 of the family's 1533-position model. The record is from RNAcentral.